UAUUCUAAACAAUAUGUAUAAUAACAUCGGUUAUAUCCGGUAAAGCGAAUCAUUAGAGGACUUGGGGUCGAAACGAUCUCAACCUAUUCUGAAAUUUUCAAUGGGUAUGUUGUCUCAGUUUCCUCAUUGAACUGUUGACACGAACGCAAGCUCCAAGUGGGUCAUUUUUAGUAAGCAGAACUGGCGCUGUGGGAUGAACCGAACGUUGGGUUAAGGUGCCUAGCUUUCCGCUCAUGAGACCCCAUAAAAGGCGUUGUUUGAUACAGACAGCAGGACGUUGGCCAUAGAAGUUGGUACCCGCUAAGAGGUGUGUAACAACUCACCUGCCGAAUCAACUAGCCCUGAAAAUGAAUGGCGCUUGAGCGAGAGACCUAUACCCAACCGUUGCUGGCUUGUGCGUUGUCUAUAAUAA
Molecule: non-coding RNA, 412 nt
Organism: Heligmosomoides polygyrus
Lineage: Eukaryota; Metazoa; Nematoda; Chromadorea; Rhabditida; Heligmosomidae
Source: Rfam